Long non-coding RNA from Schistocerca gregaria, 608 nucleotides. RefSeq lists it as uncharacterized. The record is from RefSeq and is a predicted model, not a curated record. Lineage: Eukaryota; Metazoa; Arthropoda; Insecta; Orthoptera; Acrididae. The transcript has 3 exons.
CUAAACUGCGAUUUUCCGAUAUCAGUAUUUCUGUGAAUGCUACUUUUCAGGGUCUGUUAUUCUUAACUGUGAUUUGUCGCAGUUAAGGAACCUAGGUCGUGUAUCCCUCUGCCACUGCUAUUUCUGCGAUUUCUGCUACUUCCGCGAUUUCUGCUACUUCUGCGAUUCCUGUGACUUCUGCGAUUUCUGUGACUUCGGCUACUUCUGCGAUUUCUGUGACUUCUGCUACUUCUGCGACUUAGCACCGUAUGAAAAAGUUACAUCUGUCCACAUAGAAAAUUGCAUCUCAACAAACCUGUCAUUGGUGCCCGAACUUCAUUUCAGUCACUCAGUAAAGUGAUAACUCAAAAUUUCAUUGUCAGCAGAUCUGGAGAAAUUGUCACUUCGUCUUUAGACCGUUUCAUCAGACGAGAGACACAGUUCUGGUUGCUGUAAGUAUCUAUCCACAUCAAGGCUGUUGGGAGAGACUCGUGAAGAUUCAAGACAGCUCUUAGAGGACUUGCAGUUUAAAAGUGACAUAAUUGUGAACUAAGUGUGCAGAUGAGUGAUUAAAUUGUGUUUUAUUGAAGUUGUUGAGCGAUUUUAAACGAAUAAUAAAUGUUAAAUAC